RNAcentral lists this transfer RNA (72 nucleotides) under Camelus bactrianus (Bactrian camel). It matches the Rfam family "tRNA". From Rfam's summary of the family: Transfer RNA (tRNA) molecules are approximately 80 nucleotides in length. Their secondary structure includes four short double-helical elements and three loops (D, anti-codon, and T loops). RNAcentral also lists the same sequence under 1 other name. Lineage: Eukaryota; Metazoa; Chordata; Mammalia; Artiodactyla; Camelidae. The record is from Rfam by way of RNAcentral.
GAGGGUAUAGCUCAGUGGUAGAGUAAAUACUUAUCAUGCAAGAGGUCCUGUGUUCAAUCCCCAGUACCUCCA